AACGCGAAGAACCUUACCUGGUCUUGACAUCCACGGAAGUUUUCAGAGACGAGAAUGUGCCUUCGGGAACCGUGAGACAGGUGCUGCAUGGCUGUCGUCAGCUCGUGUUGUGAAAUGUUGGGUUAAGUCCCGCAACGAGCGCAACCCUUAUCCUUUGUUGCCAGCGGUCCGGCCGGGAACUCAAAGGAGACUGCCAGUGAUAAACUGGAGGAAGGUGGGGGUGACGUCAAGUCAUCAUGGCCCUUACGACCAGGGCUACACACGUGCUACAAUGGCGCAUACAAAGAGAAGCGACCUCGCGAGAGCAAGCGGACCUCAUAAAGUGCGUCGUAGUCCGGAUUGGAGUCUGCAACUCGACUCCAUGAAGUCGGAAUCGCUAGUAAUCGUGGAUCAGAAUGCCACGGUGAAUACGUUCCCGGGUCUUGUACACACCG
This 434-nucleotide ribosomal RNA is filed under the name uncultured Escherichia sp. RNAcentral's name for it is "bacterial SSU rRNA". It matches the Rfam family "Bacterial small subunit ribosomal RNA", at positions 958 to 1392 of the family's 1533-position model. Lineage: Bacteria; Pseudomonadati; Pseudomonadota; Gammaproteobacteria; Enterobacterales; Enterobacteriaceae. The record is from RNAcentral.